Thunnus maccoyii (southern bluefin tuna) is the source of this 471-nucleotide long non-coding RNA. RefSeq lists it as uncharacterized. NCBI's taxonomy places the organism in Eukaryota, Metazoa, Chordata, Actinopteri, Scombriformes, Scombridae. The record is from RefSeq and is a predicted model, not a curated record. The transcript has 2 exons.
GAGGACUUCCUGAACGCAGCAUUGCAAACUCACCUGUGAAACACCGCCGCGGCUAAUUAGCAACACCUGGUGACAAUAUGGCUGCGAAGGAAACCAAACAAUAACGUUAAAUGAAGGAAAAGUCGUUUAUUCAAGCGGCAAUUCAUUUUAUUGUCGAAUAUGUUGGUGGUCAAGUACACAAAACUGUGUUUAACCCUCGGACAUAGCGUUAACUUUGGACAAGUCAUAAAUGCGCCGAGCUUGAACAGCGUCUUUGCCCUGGAUAAGACAUUGCAACCCUUGAACAUCAAAGAAAUCGAAGACACCGUCCUAAAGAUGACUAAAAGCAACAUUUUCCUCCACUGGGUUCCCUGAGGGGCUGUCCUUCCCAAAGCCUUCCAUAUACCACAGCCAUCAUCAUGCUCCACCAUUCCCAUCUGCCAGUCACUACUCACACAUUUCAUAUUUAAUAAACAAUUUAUUCGUAUCUCA